Molecule: ribosomal RNA, 483 nt
Filed under: uncultured Thermovirga sp.
Lineage: Bacteria; Thermotogati; Synergistota; Synergistia; Synergistales; Thermovirgaceae
Description: bacterial SSU rRNA
Rfam family: Bacterial small subunit ribosomal RNA
Source: RNAcentral
AACUUAAAGGAAUUGACGGGGCCCGCACAAGCGGAGGAACAUGUGGUUUAAUUCGAUGAUACGCGAGGAACCUUACCUGGGCUUAAAUGGGGAGUGACAGCUGUCGAAAGAUGGUUUUCUUCGGACACUCUUCAAGGUGCUGCAUGGUUGUCGUCAGCUCGUGCCGUGAGGUGUUGGGUUAAGUCCCGCAACGAGCGCAACCCCUGCAUUCAGUUGCCAUCGGUAAGGCCGGGCACUCUGGAUGGACUGCCGGCGACAAGCCGGAGGAAGGUGGGGACGACGUCAAGUCAUCAUGGCCCUUAUGUCCAGGGCGACACACGUGCUACAAUGGCCGGCACAACGGGAAGCGAAGGGGCGACCCUGAGCGGAUCCCCAUAAAAGCCGGUCCCAGUUCGGAUUGCAGUCUGCAACUCGACUGCAUGAAGUUGGAAUCGCUAGUAAUCGUGGAUCAGCCAAGCCGCGGUGAAUACGUUCCCGGGCCUU